This is a long non-coding RNA of Papaver somniferum (opium poppy), 315 nucleotides long. RefSeq lists it as uncharacterized. NCBI's taxonomy places the organism in Eukaryota, Viridiplantae, Streptophyta, Magnoliopsida, Ranunculales, Papaveraceae. The record is from RefSeq and is a predicted model, not a curated record. The transcript is spliced from 3 exons.
UUUCUUUUUCAGUAGUGGCCUCAGCUGAAGGUCAAUCACUUGCUGACGAGUAUUCCAGAAGUGCUCAAUACCUUGUGUAUUUUGGUGGAAAUGUUGGGUUACGGUAUGCUGAGAGUUGUCCUCGUGGUGGGAUCUGCUACUUAAACAGCAGCAUGGUAAGUUGGUUGACAAAGAAAAUCGGCCAAAGGAGGGUCUUGUCACUAUAGGUGUAACUUCAGGUGCUUCUACCCAAGAUAAGAAAAGAUGCUAUGAAGCUGGUAAUUUAUGGAUGGAUUGGUCGAUUACAUCAUGUCAUUGUGCCCAGCUGCAGCAAAA